This 440-nucleotide ribosomal RNA is filed under the name uncultured bacterium. RNAcentral describes it as "bacterial SSU rRNA". It matches the Rfam family "Bacterial small subunit ribosomal RNA", at positions 338 to 795 of the family's 1533-position model. The record is from RNAcentral.
CCUACGGGUCGCACCAGUGGGGAAUAUUGGACAAUGGGCGAAAGCCUGAUCCAGCAAUGCCGCGUGUGUGAAGAAGGUCUUCGGAUUGUAAAGCACUUUCGACGGGGACGAUGAUGACGGUACCCGUAGAAGAAGCCCCGACUAACUUCGUGCCAGCAGCCGCGGUAAUACGAAGGGGGCUAGCGUUGCUCGGAAUGACUGGGCGUAAAGGGCGCGUAGGCGGUUUAUGCAGUCAGAUGUGAAAUCCCCGGGCUUAACCUGGGAACUGCAUUUGAGGCGCAUAGACUAGAGGUCGGGGGAGGGUUGUGGAAUUCCCAGUGUAGAGGUGAAAUUUGUAGAUAUUGGGAAGAACACCGGUGGCGAAGGCGGCAACCUGGCUCGAUACUGACGCUGAGGCGCGAAAGCGUGGGGAGCAAACAGGAUUAGAUACCCUAGUAGUC